GAGACAUUAGUAAAAUAUAAAUAUUACAUCACCUUGUCGAGGUGAAAUUGCUGGUUAAACCCCAGCAUGUCUUA
This 74-nucleotide transfer RNA is filed under the name Siphateles bicolor obesa (Lahontan Creek tui chub). Its description in RNAcentral is "tRNA-Asp". It matches the Rfam family "tRNA". Rfam says of the family: Transfer RNA (tRNA) molecules are approximately 80 nucleotides in length. Their secondary structure includes four short double-helical elements and three loops (D, anti-codon, and T loops). The record is from RNAcentral. Lineage: Eukaryota; Metazoa; Chordata; Actinopteri; Cypriniformes; Leuciscidae.